Molecule: long non-coding RNA, 588 nt
Filed under: Nicotiana benthamiana
Lineage: Eukaryota; Viridiplantae; Streptophyta; Magnoliopsida; Solanales; Solanaceae
Description: long non-coding RNA (NBEN_LNC004663)
Source: RNAcentral
AGGAUAAAGCAUAUUCAUAAUAUCAUCAUCUAUUCUAUCACCGACUGCUACAUCAUGUAGAAAAUCAACAUCGCUAAAUUGAAAACACGGGUGAUUAUUAUCAAGUAUUCCGAAGUUUUCAUUAGUAUUUCUAGGUUGGCUACUAGUUUAUACUUGUUUAUCUUUUCUAGGUCGGGGAGCCGGGGGAGGGGUGGUAUUUUGGCGACUACUUUCACCGGAUUUAGCUUUUCCUUUACCGAACAUUUUCUUCAACGAAAACGCCAUAAUAAUUAUAAUUAAGCAAACUAACAACACACAAAAAUAUUCUUAGCACGUAAGAGUUGAAACGAGUUUACCGGAUUGACGAACAAUUUCAUCGCUAAAUUGAAAACACGGGUGAUUAUUAUCAAGUAUUCCGAAGUUUUCAUUAGUAUUUCUAGGUUGGCUACUAGUUUAUACUUGUUUAUCUUUUCUAGGUCGGGGAGCCGGGGGAGGGGUGGUAUUUUGGCGACUACUUUCACCGGUUUUAUUUUUUCCUUUUCCGAACAUAUUUUUCAAUGAAAAAUGCCAUAUUGAUUAUAAUUAAGCAAAAUAACAACACACAAAAAU